GACGAACGCUGGCGGCGUGCUUAACACAUGCAAGUCGAACGGAAAGGCCCUGCUUUUGUGGGGUGCUCGAGUGGCGAACGGGUGAGUAACACGUGAGUAACCUGCCCUUGACUUUGGGAUAACUUCAUGAAACUGGGGCUAAUACCGGAUAGGAGCUCCUGCUUCAUGGUGGGGGUUGGAAAGUUUCGGCGGUUGGGGAUGGACUCGCGGCUUAUCAGCUUGUUGGUGGGGUAGUGGCUUACCAAGGCUUUGACGGGUAGCCGGCCUGAGAGGGUGACCGGACACAUUGGGACUGAGAUAAGGCCCAGACUCCUACGGGAGGCAGCAGUGGGGAAUAUUGCACAAUGGGCGGAAGCCUGAUGCAGCAACGCCGCGUGCGGGAUGACGGCCUUCGGGUUGUAAACCGCUUUCGCCUGUGACGAAGCGUGAGUGACGGUAAUGGGUAAAGAAGCACCGGCUAACUACGUG
RNAcentral lists this ribosomal RNA (468 nucleotides) under uncultured bacterium. RNAcentral's name for it is "partial 16S ribosomal RNA". It matches the Rfam family "Bacterial small subunit ribosomal RNA", at positions 28 to 507 of the family's 1533-position model. The record is from RNAcentral.